Molecule: ribosomal RNA, 534 nt
Filed under: uncultured bacterium
Lineage: Bacteria
Description: bacterial SSU rRNA
Rfam family: Bacterial small subunit ribosomal RNA
Source: RNAcentral
AAUAGAUACCCACGGUAGUCCUAGCCGUAAACGAUGAGCACUUGAUUGAGGGCCCCCCCCAUAGGCUCUCGAUCGCAGCGAAAGUGUUAAGUGCUCCGCCUGGGGAGUAUGGUCGCAAGGCUGAAACUCAAAGGGAAUUGACGGGGGGCUCACACAAGCGGUGGAGGAUGUGGCUUAAUUCGAGGCUACGCGAAGAACCUUAUCCAGGCCUUGACAUGUACGGAUGCUGCCCGUGAAAGCGGGUUAGUUGCCUUCGGGUGAAACGUGCACAGGUGCUGCAUGGCUGUCGUCAGCUCGUGUCGUGAGAUGUCGGGUUAAGUCCCUUAACGAGCGAAACCCUUGUCCUUAGUUGCCAGCGAGUCAUGUCGGGGACUCGUAAGGAGACUGCCGGCGUUAAGCCGGAGGAAGGUGGGGAUGACGUCAAGUCCUCAUGGCCUUUAUGGUCUGGGCUGCACACGUCCUACAAUGGCGUAUACAAAGGGAUGCUACCUCGCGAGAGCAAGCAAAGUCCCAAAAAGUACGCCCCGAGUUCGG